RNAcentral lists this long non-coding RNA (1876 nucleotides) under Zea mays. Its description in RNAcentral is "long non-coding RNA (ZMAY_LNC005181)". Lineage: Eukaryota; Viridiplantae; Streptophyta; Magnoliopsida; Poales; Poaceae. The record is from RNAcentral.
AACAAUGUAUAAACAUUUAUCAUGACAAAAAACAUACUAAGUAUUAUUAAUCGACUAGCAAAGGGAAGUUAAACAUACGACAUGAACUGAAUUAACCAGUGCACACGACUAGUUAAAAAACAAACAUCCUUUGAUAACAAGUUUCUAAUUAAAUCAUGGCUGCGCCUGGGCAGCGUUAUUAUGAGAGUGAAAGUGGACGUGCUGCUACUCCCCUUAUUCACAACAUGUAUCAAGUACCUGCAUUGAGUAAUGCAAAAGUGAGAUGACACAUCUCAGCAAGUAAAAUAAUAACAAAUUGUUUAACCACAUAAGAACAUUGUUUUACCACCACUUGAUUUCACAACCUUCUUAUUACGAAGGUGCAGCACGAAUACAAUGUACAACACACCUAGUUACCACACCUCGCAGGUAGAAACCACAAUAGUAACAUAGUAAUGUCACACUUCAUAUAUACCUCAUGAGUGCAAAUGUCUGCAAAUGCAAGGAUGACUUCUGCCUUCAUACCUCUAAGGAUAUAAAGCCGCAUCGUACCCCUCCUCGGGCAACGUACGAUGCUAAAAGUGUACCGGUACGGUCGGACCAUAAGAUCUCGACAUAACUUCAAAAUGCAAGAUGGAUGAUGCGGUGUGCAUGACAUGCCUACAACACUUCUUAUAACGUGAUUCAAAAAGAUACCUCAACUUCAUCCAAGAUGGGAAUCAACCGCAUAUAUGAUUCCCAAAUCAUGAUCAUCCACAAUAUUAGACAAUUGAGAAUUAAUACUUUCGAACAAAUAAACUUCAUCAUAGAAUUCAUUGAUUAACGCAUUUGAUACUUAUGCAUACUCAAUGACAAGGCAUAUGAUGCAAACCAAACGGUAGCAACCACCACUGUAUUUACUUGCCUUCACCGGGAAUUUGAAAUGGUACUAAGUACGAUCGGAAGUCCACCACCUAUUUUUGACACACACCUUAGUGCACAAAUAAACAUAACAAACGCUAAUAAACAACGCCGCACCUACGCACAAUUUCAUCCCGUCGCGAGCGACAACUCUCUCCAUCACCACCAAACUGCAGCAGCGCUGCUUGAUAAUUUCAUAACUUUAUAAUUAUAACAGCAGUGAUAUCAAUAAAAAACUCCAGAAGCAUUUACAUAAAAUUUCCCACAAGUUUUAUAUUCAAAUGAUAAUUAAAUUCCAACCCCUAUUUAGCCCAAAACAGUCCACAAGAUAAACCCUGCAAUCUGUUUUUGGACAGCAGCAUACCCGGAUUCAAACAGCGACAUAUCCUAAAAUAUAACUCCGAAUCAAGCGCAUAAGUACUCGUUGGAAAGGUAUGACAAAACUCUACAUUAUUAUCAUACUGAUUAUCACUAAUUACACACGAAAAAUCCUCAGAAACUGCUAAUACUACUGCUGUUCGCCCACCUGCAAAUCUGUUUUUUUGGACAGCAACAUACCCGGAUUCAAACAGCGAUAUCUCCUAAAAUAUAACUCCGAAUCGAGCGCAUAAGUACUCGUUGGAAAGGUAUGAUAAAACUCUACAUGAUUCUCCCACUUAUUCCCACUAAUUACCCACGAAAAAUUCUCAGAAACUGCUAGAACUACUGCUGUUCGCCCACCCACAAAAUUUCUGGAUAGCACCUCUACCAAUUCGCAUAUGUAAACAUCUAAUCGAUUGAAUUGCAGCACAAAUAAACAAGAGUUAAUCACAAAAUCACCUUGACUUCUCCCCCUUUCCUCCCUCCUUCCUUCCACCAAAUUCCAAUUGGAGAUUUGCACCCAUGCGACGUAGAUCAAGCGGGAGGGCUGCACCUAGGAGAGGAGAAGAUGGGCGGCGGCUAGGGUUUGUGGGAUGGUGGCUACAAGAGUUUAAGGGAGGAGGAGAUGAGAGGGUGG